AAGCAAGUACAUGUGACUUCCAAUCACCUAGUCUUGGUUAGNAUCCAAGGAAAGAUA
Molecule: transfer RNA, 57 nt
Filed under: Neopomacentrus cyanomos (regal demoiselle)
Lineage: Eukaryota; Metazoa; Chordata; Actinopteri; Pomacentridae
Description: partial tRNA-Gly
Source: RNAcentral